This 369-nucleotide long non-coding RNA is filed under the name Bos taurus (domestic cattle). Its description in RNAcentral is "long non-coding RNA NONBTAT019815". Lineage: Eukaryota; Metazoa; Chordata; Mammalia; Artiodactyla; Bovidae. The record is from RNAcentral.
GUUUUGAAUCCCAGCAGGAAUAGCUAAAUGGUUUAACCAAACUGGCUUCAUAAGAAGUUUAGGAUUUAGCUCAAAAAGCAGUUAAUAGCCUUAUCUCUAUUUUGAAAUCAAAAAUAAUUUUUUUCUAAACUCCUUCCUAGGACCAUUUAGGUGUCCCCCUUAAAAGGAGAAAGAGCUCAUUGAAAUAUUUGUUUGGGCUUUACUUCUGUUCCACCUCUUAAUUGAAAUAUUUAGUUGUGAAACCGAAAGCCUCUGCCUGAGUUUUCUUAAUUCAGCAACUUGACAGUUUGACUGAUGUGCAUUAUGUAUAGCUCAAUUAUGUCUGUUUUUUAUGCUAAGUAGGCAAACCAACCACACACACGUUAGCAA